UUCAUAAUAACUUCUCAGAUCGCAUGGCCUUGCGCCGGCGACGGUUCAUUCAAAUUUCUGCCCUAUCAACUUUCGAUGGUAAGGUAUUGGCUUACCAUGGUUUCAACGGGUAACGGGGAAUUAGGGUUCGAUUCCGGAGAGGGAGCUGAGAAACGGCUACCACAUCCAAGGAAGGCAGCAGGCGCGCAAAUUACCCAAUCCCGACACGGGGAGGUAGUGACAAUAAAUACUGAUACAGGGCUCUUUUGGGUCUUGUAAUUGGAAUGAGUACAAUUUAAACCUCUUAACGAGGAACAAUUGGAGGGCAAGUCUGGUGCCAGCAGCCGCGGUAAUUCCAGCUCCAAUAGCGUAUAUUAAAGUUGUUGCAGUUAAAAAGCUCGUAGUUGAACCUUUGGCCUGGCUGGCAGGUCCGCCUCACCGCGUGCACUUGUCCGGCCGGGCCUUCUCUUCUGGAGAACCGCAUGCCCUUCACUGGGUGUGUUGGGGACCAGGACUUUUACUUUGAAAAAAUUAGAGUGUUCAAAGCAGGCCUUUGCUCGAAUACGUUAGCAUGGAAUAAUAGAAUAGGACGUGCGGUCCUAUUUUGUUGGUUUCUAGGACCGCCGUAAUGAUUAAUAGGGACAGUCGGGGGCAUCAGUAUUCAAUUGUCAGAGGUGAAAUUCUUGGAUUUAUUGAAGACUAACUACUGCGAAAGCAUUUGCCAAGGAUGUUUUCAUUAAUCAGUGAACGAAAGUUAGGGGAUCGAAGACGAUCAGAUACCGUCGUAGUCUUAACCAUAAACUAUGCCGACUAGGGAUCGGGCGGUGUUAUUAUUUUGACUCGCUCGGCACCUUACGAGAAAUCAAAGUGUUUGGG
This 855-nucleotide ribosomal RNA is filed under the name Keissleriella dactylidicola. Its description in RNAcentral is "SSU rRNA". It matches the Rfam family "Eukaryotic small subunit ribosomal RNA", at positions 250 to 1111 of the family's 1831-position model. Lineage: Eukaryota; Fungi; Ascomycota; Dothideomycetes; Pleosporales; Lentitheciaceae. The record is from RNAcentral.